This is a long non-coding RNA of Corvus hawaiiensis (hawaiian crow), 2706 nucleotides long. RefSeq lists it as uncharacterized. The transcript is spliced from 4 exons. The record is from RefSeq and is a predicted model, not a curated record. NCBI's taxonomy places the organism in Eukaryota, Metazoa, Chordata, Aves, Passeriformes, Corvidae.
UUCCUGAUUUCACCUUCUUCUCUCUUGUGAUCUGAUUCUCUUUAUGAGUAAGGGCUUCAUCUCACUUCAUUCUUACAUGACUGCAAGAUUUUUCACUGUAGGCAACGGAUGGCCACAAGAGACAUCCAGUGAGCUUGUCCCUGACUGUGUAUCAGAUGGCCUCAGCUGGAGGCCAGGUGAAGUGGUGGACAUUCCUGGUCUCCAGCAUGCUUAGCAGCCCAGAUUGGAGAUUGCUGUUCAUAAGGGCAGGGAAUGUGCCAGCUUUCACAGAUCUGUACUUGCAGGAGGAGCACUAGACCUGUGAGGCAGCACCCUGCCAUCCGGCUCCUGGCGGACACCCAGACACUAUCUCAAGCUCCAUCAAUGCACUGACAUAUUUUCUGCCUGGAAAAGCCAUUCCAGAUUUGGACACAAAAGUGAUCAGAGUAUCAACUGGUAAUUACGAGAAACCUCAAAAUAAAUGCAGAAGAAUUCAUGAGACAAAUUGGAAAGACAGAAUGAAAUGAGCAAAACAGAAGCCUAAAAAAAAAGGAAAAUGAAAAGGAUGGUUUAACGCUGACAUUAUUUAAUGGUCAUCAUAGUGGUGAUGCUAGGUUGAUGGUUGAACUUGCUGAUCUCAGAGGUCUUUUCCAACCUUAAUGAUUAUAUGACUCUAUAAAGAUAGGAAUACAUGAUCUGAGCUUUACAAUGAAAGUGAAGAAAAAAAGUACAAAAAGUAAUAAAAUGUGCUAAUAGAAAAUAAAAAAGUAAUGUGGUAAAUCUGUACUUCUACUGCCCAAGGAUACAUUUUUCUCCUUAGACUGUGGUUUAAAUCAAUAAGAAAAAAAUUGCCAGACUUUACAUUUUAUUUCAUGUUGUCCAGUCUUUACAUCCUGCAGAGAUGAAAAAUAUUAUCACUGUUCAGAGAGGGUACAAGUUGCUCCUUUGGCCAGAGUGUAACUAACUAAAAAAAAAGUAGACAUCUGAGCAGCAGAAACACUGAAGACUGGUUUUCCAUACAUUUCAGAAGGAUUUUUUUAUUUAACAAUAAAACAAGAGUGAUUUAGCCUUCUCCUUUGGAAGAAGAUGUCAGAAAGAAUUGUUUAUUAACUGGCUCUCCCUAUUCUACCCAGCCACAUGUUUUCACAAGUCUCAAAGGAACCAGUAUCUUUGAGACUUCUCUCCCUCUUGGAUUGGAAUGACAUUGGGCACUAAUGUAAAAAGUCAGUAAGAGGAGGUGAGAAAGAAGGGUGCAGAUAAACAGAGAGGCAUAAUGGUCAAAUAUGUCCAAUUCUCCCCAGGAAAAUCCUCUAAAAUAACUAUGUGGAGCAAUACUUAAUAUUUUCCUAACCCCAUAUGUCUCCUUGUUCUACUUUGUAGAGACAUGUAAAGACCAAAAGCUAUUGAAUGGUACAUUUGUCUGUAAGGAUCACAAGCCUCUUUCUUUUCUCUCUCUGUACUAAGUGCAAAGAUCCUUUCACAUGGAACCAGCACAUGCUCUGUUUCCAUAGGUCUUGUCAUCUUCUGCUGCAGUCCAGGACAUCAGAGCACAUGCAAUGCAGAGCAUGAACUCAUACCAAGAAUACUUUGCUUUCUUUUCAAUUUCUUACUGACUUAGAGAGAUAACUAAACAGAAAUUUCCCCUAACAAGAAUAUCAGCUGAAAAAGAAAUUAGAUAAUUAGGUCAAAGCAGCUCAGCAUGUUAGCUGUGUAUUCUGGUUUGCUUCCUGUUUUUCUUCCCUUCCGCAGCCAGUAUCUUUCUCUUAUAUAACAAGCUAUUAUUAUUAGGCUAACUUCACUCAAAAGUCUAUGACUCAGCUAUUAAUAAUACUAAAGAUAAAGGAGUACUUACUGCUGGCUUUCAGAAGAAUUUUAAGUUAUUCUGUUCUCACUGAGUCAGGAGUUCUCUGCCAAGAGCUUUUGAAAUCCUCCACUUCUGCCAUUUGAACUUGUGCCUUUUUCACAAUAGUAAGUGGCACAUUCAGACCCUCAGUAUGUACACCUACACACCAUGUCCUGACUGCUCACGCAUCAAUUUACAUUUACUUUGUUAUUCUGCCAACCUUUCUUAAUUCUACCAGUCAUCCUUCCUUUCUGCAAUUCAAAUGAGUCAUGGAAUCCUUCAAUCUGUUAUAGCGUAAGAACUUUUCCUACAUUCUUGUUGAAAAUGGUUUCCUGAGAGCCUCACUACAGGCAGUGACUUUAAAUACUUUCUAAAUAAGGUCUUGAGAAUUAUUUCUGUAGCGGUAUCUCCAUUUAGCAGCUGAAGUACCCUAGCUCCAUAAUGCAUCCUCCAACAAUGUUUUUGAGUUUUAGCUACUACCGUAAUUGAUAAAAUGUGGCAUAUCCUGUUUUAGGACUGGGAGAAAUGAUCUUUAACCACGUGGUCCCUUAGACUGUAAAGCUCUGUAUUUGGUUUGGCAGAGGUGGAGUAUAUUUUCCCACAGCAGCCCUCACAGUGUUGUGCUUUGCAGUAGUGGCUGGAAAGGUGUUGACAACACAGCAGUGCCUUGGCUGCUGCUGAGCAGUGCUGGCACAGCACCAGCCUCUCUUUUCACCAGUAGGCUGGGAUGGGCAAGAUCUUGGGAGGGGACAGAUCCAGGACAGCUGACCCAAACUAGCCAAAACAAUAUUUCAUAUCAUAUUAGGUCGGGUCAGCAAUAUAAGCUAAGGGAAAGGAGGAGGAAAGCAGGGCGGUGUAAGAGACGGUCCGAAGAUCCCUCAUCU